Molecule: ribosomal RNA, 571 nt
Filed under: uncultured bacterium
Lineage: Bacteria
Description: partial 16S ribosomal RNA
Rfam family: Bacterial small subunit ribosomal RNA
Source: RNAcentral
UGGGGAAUUUUGGACAAUGGGCGAAAGCCUGAUCCAGCAAUGCCGCGUGUGUGAAGAAGGCCUUCGGGUUGUAAAGCACUUUUGUCCGGAAAGAAAUCCUUGGCUCUAAUACAGUCGGGGGAUGACGGUACCGGAAGAAUAAGCACCGGCUAACUACGUGCCAGCAGCCGCGGUAAUACGUAGGGUGCAAGCGUUAAUCGGAAUUACUGGGCGUAAGGCGUGCGCAGGCGGUUUGCUAAGACCGAUGUGAAAUCCCCGGGCUCAACCUGGGAACUGCAUUGGUGACUGGCAGGCUAGAGUAUGGCAGAGGGGGGUAGAAUUCCACGUGUAGCAGUGAAAUGCGUAGAGAUGUGGAGGAAUACCGAUGGCGAAGGCAGCCCCCUGGGCCAAUACUGACGCUCAUGCACGAAAGCGUGGGGAGCAAACAGGAUUAGAUACCCUGGUAGUCCACGCCCUAAACGAUGUCAACUAGUUGUUGGGGAUUCAUUUCCUUAGUAACGUAGCUAACGCGUGAAGUUGACCGCCUGGGGAGUACGGUCGCAAGAUUAAAACUCAAAUGAAUUGACGGGGU